This 75-nucleotide transfer RNA is filed under the name Purpureocillium takamizusanense. RNAcentral describes it as "tRNA-His". The record is from RNAcentral. Lineage: Eukaryota; Fungi; Ascomycota; Sordariomycetes; Hypocreales; Ophiocordycipitaceae.
GUAAUUGUAGUUCAAUUGGUUAGAACGUCUAUUUGUGGCAUAGAAGGUUCUCGGUUCGAUCCCGAGCAGAUACCC